UGUGAGCUCGAUGAGUAGGGCGGGACACGUGGUAUCCUGUCUGAAUAUGGGGGGACCAUCCUCCAAGGCUAAAUACUCCUGACUGACCGAUAGUGAACCAGUACCGUGAGGGAAAGGCGAAAAGAACCCCGGCGAGGGGAGUGAAAAAGAACCUGAAACCGUGUACGUACAAGCAGUGGGAGCACGCUUAGGCGUGUGACUGCGUACCUUUUGUAUAAUGGGUCAGCGACUUAUAUUCUGUAGCAAGGUUAACCGAAUAGGGGAGCCGAAGGGAAACCGAGUCUUAACUGGGCGUUAAGUUGCAGGGUAUAGACCCGAAACCCGGUGAUCUAGCCAUGGGCAGGUUGAAGGUUGGGUAACACUAACUGGAGGACCGAACCGACUAAUGUUGAAAAAUUAGCGGAUGACUUGUGGCUGGGGGUGAAAGGCCAAUCAAACCGGGAGAUAGCUGGUUCUCCCCGAAAGCUAUUUAGGUAGCGCCUCGUGAAUUCAUCUCCGGGGGUAGAGCACUGUUUCGGCAAGGGGGUCAUCCCGACUUACCAACCCGAUGCAAACUGCGAAUACCGGAGAAUGUUAUCACGGGAGACACACGGCGGGUGCUAACGUCCGUCGUGAAGAGGGAAACAACCCAGACCGCCAGCUAAGGUCCCAAAGUCAUGGUUAAGUGGGAAACGAUGUGGGAAGGCCCAGACAGCCAGGAUGUUGGCUUAGAAGCAGCCAUCAUUUAAAGAAAGCGUAAUAGCUCACUGGUCGAGUCGGCCUGCGCGGAAGAUGUAACGGGGCUAAACCAUGCACCGAAGCUGCGGCAGCGACGCUUAUGCGUUGUUGGGUAGGGGAGCGUUCUGUAAGCCUGCGAAGGUGUGCUGUGAGGCAUGCUGGAGGUAUCAGAAGUGCGAAUGCUGACAUAAGUAACGAUAAAGCGGGUGAAAAGCCCGCUCGCCGGAAGACCAAGGGUUCCUGUCCAACGUUAAUCGGGGCAGGGUGAGUCGACCCCUAAGGCGAGGCCGAAAGGCGUAGUCGAUGGGAAACAGGUUAAUAUUCCUGUACUUGGUGUUACUGCGAAGGGGGGACGGAGAAGGCUAUGUUGGCCGGGCGACGGUUGUCCCGGUUUAAGCGUGUAGGCUGGUUUUCCAGGCAAAUCCGGAAAACUAAGGCUGAGGCGUGAUGACGAGGCACUACGGUGCUGAAGCAACAAAUGCCCUGCUUCCAGGAAAAGCCUCUAAGCAU
This 1227-nucleotide ribosomal RNA is filed under the name Escherichia coli. Its description in RNAcentral is "partial 23S ribosomal RNA". It matches the Rfam family "Bacterial large subunit ribosomal RNA", at positions 398 to 1629 of the family's 2925-position model. Lineage: Bacteria; Pseudomonadati; Pseudomonadota; Gammaproteobacteria; Enterobacterales; Enterobacteriaceae. The record is from RNAcentral.